Molecule: ribosomal RNA, 406 nt
Filed under: uncultured bacterium
Lineage: Bacteria
Description: partial 16S ribosomal RNA
Rfam family: Bacterial small subunit ribosomal RNA
Source: RNAcentral
AUUGAACGCUGGCGGCAGGCCUAACACAUGCAAGUCGAGCGAGCGGCGGACGGGUGAGUAAUGUCUGGGAAACUUCCUGAUGGAGGGGGAUAACUACUGGAAACGGUGGCUAAUACCGCAUACCAUCAGAUGUGCCCAGUGGGGAUUAGCUAGUAGGUGGGGUAACGGCUCACCUAGGCGACGAUGCCUAGCUGGUCUGAGAGGCUGAACAGCCACACUGGAACUGAGACACGGUCCAGACUCCUACGGGAGGCAGCAGUGGGGAAUAUUGCACAAUGGGCGCAAGCCUGAUGCAGCCAUGCCGCGUGUGUGAAGAAGGCCUUCGGGUUGUAAAGCACUUUCAGCGGGGAGGCGUUACCCGCAGAAGAAGCACCGGCUAACUCCGUGCCAGCAGCCGCGGUAAUUC